This 253-nucleotide ribosomal RNA is filed under the name uncultured bacterium. RNAcentral describes it as "partial 16S ribosomal RNA". It matches the Rfam family "Bacterial small subunit ribosomal RNA", at positions 524 to 776 of the family's 1533-position model. The record is from RNAcentral.
UACAGAGGUGGCAAGCGUUGUUCGGAAUUACUGGGCGUAAAGGGCGCGUAGGCGGUCUUUUAAGUCUUGUGUGAAAUCCCUCAGCUCAACUGAGGAACUGCACGGGAUACUAGAAGACUUGAGUUCGAAAAAAAGAAGCGGAAUUCCGGAUGUAGCGGUGAAAUGCGUAGAUAUCGGGAAGAACACCCGUGGCGAAGGCGGCUCUCUGGGACGGUACUGACGCUGAGACGCGAAAGCGUGGGGAGCGAACAGG